Linepithema humile (Argentine ant) is the source of this 786-nucleotide non-coding RNA. The record is from RefSeq and is a predicted model, not a curated record. NCBI's taxonomy places the organism in Eukaryota, Metazoa, Arthropoda, Insecta, Hymenoptera, Formicidae.
ACAGACACACUCCGCGAUUAAUUGCGAUUAAUUAAGUAAUUUUAUCAAUUAAAAAUAUGAGAAGUGUAAAUUUCUAUCGGAAGUGUCGAUUAAUGCAACGGGCGAUUACCGGAAUGUAUUGUUUACCGCGGAUGUUUACGAUUCAGAGCGAUUCGCUGGUAGCAUAACAAGAUGAAAAUGGUUAGGUACAACCCGAGUGAGUACAAAUUACAAUACACAAUGAUUAAAACACAGUAUAUUUUUUGACAAACAUGUUGAAUAUUUAGCUGGUCGGAAUUAUAUCGGGUAAAAAUUGUAUUGUGUGUGUAGCUGUGCUGUCGAGGAAUCUUUUUACAACCACCAAACAAUCAUUAUUUAUCUCGCUCGCUCCGAGUGCGUGUACAGUGUCGAAAUUCCGUUAAAUAUGUAAGGUGAUAAUAUCGGCUACUUAUAUAAACGCGUUGCGGCACCAAGUCGUUUUACCUCGCGUUUACGUUUUAUGUAUCGGAAAUUCGUGACGUAAAUCCGUGAUUUUCGAUAGUGAAGUAUGCGAGUUAACCUUCGUUCAGCAGUGCACAUAUGUAGCUACAUAAAUGCGGAUCUCUAGUAUUCAUCGAUUCUUCGAUGCAGCUGAUGCGAAGCAAUCUGAGGCAAAAUCUGCAGUGAAUGGAGCAAUACCUGAGCUGAUACACCUGAGAGUGUAUUAGCUAAGGUACAACGAAUGAGUUUAUAUGAAGUGGAAUCAGGAUAAUUGGACAUCUUUAAUAUUGAAGAAAGCAGAGGAAAUGGUAAGUACAUAGAUAUAAA